CCUGAUGCAGCAACGCCGCGUGAGGGACGACGGCCUUCGGGUUGUAAACCUCUUUUAGCAAGGAAGAAGCGAAAGUGACGGUACUUGCAGAAAAAGCGCCGGCUAACUACGUGCCAGCAGCCGCGGUAAUACGUAGGGCGCAAGCGUUAUCCGGAAUUAUUGGGCGUAAAGAGCUCGUAGGCGGUUUGUCGCGUCUGCUGUGAAAACCCGAGGCUCAACCUCGGGCCUGCAGUGGGUACGGGCAGACUAGAGUGCGGUAGGGGAGAUUGGAAUUCCUGGUGUAGCGGUGGAAUGCGCAGAUAUCAGGAGGAACACCGAUGGCGAAGGCAGAUCUCUGGGCCGUAACUGACGCUGAGGAGCGAAAGGGUGGGGAGCAAACAGGCUUAGAUACCCUGGUAGUCCACCCCGUAAACGUUGGGAACUAGUUGUGGGGUCCAUUCCACGGAUUCCGUGACGCAGCUAACGCAUUAAGUUCCCCGCCUGGGGAGUACGGCCGCAAGGCUAAAACUCAAAGGAAUUGACGGGGACCCGCACAAGCGGCGGAGCAUGCGGAUUAAUUCGAUGCAACGCGAAGAACCUUACCAAGGCUUGACAUAUACGAGAACGCUGCAGAAAUGUAGAACUCUUUGGACACUC
This 636-nucleotide ribosomal RNA is filed under the name Microbacterium sp. So2Ps_1659. RNAcentral describes it as "bacterial SSU rRNA". It matches the Rfam family "Bacterial small subunit ribosomal RNA", at positions 382 to 1029 of the family's 1533-position model. The record is from RNAcentral. Lineage: Bacteria; Bacillati; Actinomycetota; Actinomycetes; Micrococcales; Microbacteriaceae. RNAcentral also lists the same sequence under 1 other name.